This 746-nucleotide ribosomal RNA is filed under the name Golovinomyces salviae. RNAcentral describes it as "eukaryotic LSU rRNA". It matches the Rfam family "Eukaryotic large subunit ribosomal RNA", at positions 82 to 843 of the family's 3401-position model. Lineage: Eukaryota; Fungi; Ascomycota; Leotiomycetes; Helotiales; Erysiphaceae. The record is from RNAcentral.
AGUAACGGCGAGUGAAGCGGUAACAGCUCAAAUUUGAAAUCUGGCUCCUGCGGAGUCCGAGUUGUAAUUUGUAGAAGAUGCUUUGGGAGGUAGGACCGGCCUAAGUUCCUUGGAACAGGACAUCAGAGAGGGUGAGAAUCCCGUAUGCGGCCGCGGCCUAUGCCCGUGUAAAGCUCUUUCGACGAGUCGAGUUGUUUGGGAAUGCAGCUCAAAAUGGGUGGUAAAUUUCAUCUAAAGCUAAAUAUUGGCCAGAGACCGAUAGCGCACAAGUAGAGUGAUCGAAAGAUGAAAAGCACUUUGGAAAGAGAGUUAAACAGUACGUGAAAUUGUUGAAAGGGAAGCGCUUGCACCCAGACUUGGGCGUCGUCGAUCAUCCGAGGUUCUCCUCGGUGCACUCGGCGAUGCACAGGCCAGCAUCGGUUUGGGUGGUUGGAGAAAGGCUCUAGGAACGUAGCUCUCUUCGGGGAGUGUUAUAGCCUAGGGCGUAAUGCAGCCCAUCCGGACCGAGGACCGCGCCUUUGGGCUAGGAUGCUGGCGUAAUGGUUGCAAGCGACCCGUCUUGAAACACGGACCAAGGAGUCUAACAUCUAUGCGAGUGUUUGGGCGUUAAACCCAUACGCGGAAUGAAAGUGAACGUAGGUGAGAACCCGUUAGGGUGCAUCAUCGACCGAUCCUGAUGUCUUCGGAUGGAUUUGAGUACGAGCAUAGCUGUUGGGACCCGAAAGAUGGUGAGCUAUGCCGGAAUA